RNAcentral lists this unclassified non-coding RNA (329 nucleotides) under uncultured Ascomycota. RNAcentral's name for it is "sequence contains ITS1". The stretch from base 1 to 105 matches the Rfam family "5.8S ribosomal RNA", at positions 50 to 154 of the family's 154-position model. The record is from RNAcentral. Lineage: Eukaryota; Fungi; Ascomycota.
GAAAUGCGAUAACUAAUGUGAAUUGCAGAAUUCCGUGAAUCAUCGAGUCUUUGAACGCACAUUGCGCCCCCUGGUAUUCCGGGGGGCAUGCCUGUUCGAGCGUCAUUACAACCCUCAAGCCCGGCUUGCGUGAUGGGUGGCCGUCUUUCUCUGGUUAGCGCCAGGUGGGAGACGCCCCCGAAACAUAGUGGGGACGUCGCGAUACCGAAGCCUCAGCGAAUGGGAAUCUUCCAGAGCUGCAUGGUAGCGGCCGGCGUCGACCAUAGCCCAGUCUUCGGACUAUUUUUCUGGUUGACCUCGGAUCAGGUAGGGAUACCCGCUGAACUUAA